UAAUUCUUCUAUAGAUUGUUG
This is a non-coding RNA of Caenorhabditis elegans, 21 nucleotides long. The record is from Ensembl. NCBI's taxonomy places the organism in Eukaryota, Metazoa, Nematoda, Chromadorea, Rhabditida, Rhabditidae.